RNAcentral lists this long non-coding RNA (4329 nucleotides) under Marmota monax (woodchuck). The record is from RNAcentral. Lineage: Eukaryota; Metazoa; Chordata; Mammalia; Rodentia; Sciuridae.
UGCCAUCCUCCUGCUCUGGCCUCCUGAGUUGCAGGGAUCCCGGGCCUGCGCCCUGCGCCCCACUCGGGCAGGGUUUCUGUUGUCUGUUUGCAGCUGGGAGCCUGAACCCAGAGCCAAGCCUCAGGGCUGCGGGGGAGUACUCCACCACUGAGCCACAGCCCCAGUUCUUCAGGCAGAGGUUUCGUACCACUCGGGAUUUAAUCUAGGUUAAAAGGAGACCCCUCGCUGAGCUGGGUGGUGCAAGCCUGGAAUCCCAGCAACUCAGGAGGCUGAGUCAGGAGGAUUGCAAGUUUGGCCCAGUCUCCGCAACUUAGUGAGCACCUGUCUCAAAAUUAAAAAACAAAGAAAACAAGAAAAGAAAGGAAUUGGGAUGUGGCUCAGUGGUGAGUUCAAAUCCUAGAGCCCGAGCAAAACAAAACAAACCCCAAAAGUCUUGGCCUGCCCUUCCUGGCCAGGUGGCCCUGGCCACGCACUUCAACGUCUGUGCCCUGGCUCCUCAUCCUUGUGUGAGGACCAAAGGUCCACGCAUGGCCGGGACGUGACCUCAUGUCACUCGGGGAGGCUCCUCUUGAUCUGCUCUGCUGCGGGCCCACACCUGGUCUCAUGGAUGAAUCUGGACAGCGGAGGUGGCCCGCUCAGGACCACACAGCCAGGAGAAGGCCGAGUCAAGACGCACGGCCCCAAAGUCCAGAGCCCACAGACUCACACUCAUCUGCAAAAUAUGCAAGGUGCAGACCCCUGGGCAGAGGCCUGGGGGCACAGAGGCCCGGGGCCAGUCAGCAGACCCUGCCGUGGUCAGAGGGGAUGUUCGUCCAGCCAGAGGGUGUGAAGUGCACUGCCCCAGGGCUGCUCUGGGGGCCGGUCCUUCCUGGAGCCCCACAGCUGCCCUGUUCCCCACGCCCAGGAGGGUCAGGUGACGGCAGCGCCUGCAGGUGCAGGGCAGGUGGUCCAGGGACCGAGCGGAGGCAGUCGGGCACGGGGGCGGCCGGGAGAGGAGAGUGGGCUUCACCAGGGAAACAGGAGGCCUGCAGUUUGCUGGGAAUCUUGUGGCUGAGGACACUGUCAAACCCCGAGGGGUCGAGCCAGCCUUCUCUGACCCUCGGAGCUGGCUUGGUCCUUGGCCUCCCGUCCAGGGUUUCUGCUGGUCAGUGGGGUCACAGGUUGGUGCGUGCCAUGUUCCUAGAGGAGUCCCAAGGCCCCCGCCUGUGUUCACUUCCCCCCUGGCCAGGCCUGGUGAGGAGCUGGGCCUGCCCAGGCAGGGACUGUCCUGUCUGCACCCUCCCGUCUCCUGUGUCUCCAGGAUCUCUCUGGACGAGACGCCCCGACAGUGUCUGGGCCCCUGCCAGCCCCAGCCCAGCGGCCCGGGCUCCCUGGCUGGAGCAGCUGGGUGUGAGGGUCGGCGAGAGGGUCUCCGAGGGAGGCCGGUUCUGGCAGCCAGGGCCGCGUGGAGGGCUUCCCGGAGGAGGGGUCCUGGAAACAGGUCCAUAGCUGACGUCUUGGGAGUCAGAAUCCCAGACCCCCACGGGGGCAUGACUGUGUCAUCUCUGUCAUUUCUGUGUCCCCAGUUUCCAGAUACACAGGAAUAUGGAGAGCAGGCUCUGCCUGCUGGGGUUUUCCAUUUCAAAAGUAUAUAAAGUAGCCAUUUGCCCUAAACUACUCUUUUUUUUUUUUUUUUGUACUGGGGAUUGAACCCAGAGGAUUUCCCACUGAGCCAUGUUCCAUUCCUUUUUACUUUUUAUUUUAAGGCUGUCAUUAAGUCGGUCAGGGUCUCCCUCAAUUGCUGACUGUGGCUUCGAACUCGGCAUCCUCCUGCCUCGGCCUCCCAAACUGCUAGGAUCACGCAGUGCGCCCUGUCAGCUGACCUGUUUUGAGCCCCAGUGCUCAGGCGGAAGGAGUGGUGACGUGUCCAGGCACAGAUCGCCACCAGGUUCGACACCCAGGACUUCUUGGAGAGAAGAGCCCGCCUGCCCAGCACAAUGUCAGGCACCGUGGAUAAAUGGACCAAUCACGUCGGGACAGUGGCCACCUGAACUUCUCAGAGGAGAUCAGAGGCACGUGGUGGCGGGCGUGCUGCGGACACGGCAGCCCACGGGCGACCCACCCUCCCCCAGAACAUGUAAAGGGAGGCACCUGGGACUGCGGUCAGUGGCACGCUGACCCAGCCUCUUAUCAGACCAUCCAGCAAGCGCGUCACAGAGUGACAGGCCACCAACUCCUGACUCUGUCCCCGGGGCUCCAGCCCAGCUCUAUCUCCCUGACUGACGUGGCCCGUUUCGAAACUGCCUGCUGUCCAGCUUGGUGGCUUGUCGCCCAGCUGACCACCUGCGGGGACCCUGUGUUUGUGGCCCUCCCUGCUCCCGGCAGUGUCCCCCACUGUGGCAUGCGCUGGGGGAUCCCAGGGCUUGCACCUGCUGGGCGAUGCGCUCCCACUGAGCCACACCCCAGCCCUUGUUGUUUUAGGUAGGUUCUUGGUAGGUUGCCGAGGCUGGCCUUGAACCUGUGAGCCUCCUGCCUGGGCCUCCAAGUUGCAGAGACGAUAGGUAGGUGUCUGUCUCCCCAGUUGAGAACUGCCUCCUUGGCCACGGUGAGCCCUUUCUUAGACUUUCUGUAACGUCUGUCUGUCUGUCUCACUGUGAAGCAUGGCGUGGGACUUGGCGGUAUGGGUCUUGGUGAUUAAGAUUGAAGGAUAAAGGAACCUGUGAUGGCCCUGAUCAUGGCUGCCAGGUGAGCCAGGGGUACUCGGUGAAUUAUUGCUGAUGAAAGUGGCACAGCGGGUGAGUUUCAUUGUCGUUCACAACUGAAAUCACGGAAAGACACAGAUACAUCGGAUCUAGCUGAGGGCGUGGCUCACUCAACACUGAGGUCAUGAGAGAGCAGCCGACAGGAGCUGAGAGAGCCCAUGUGCCAGCAGGGCGCUGUGCACGACCCUGUAAGGUAGGUGUUACGUCAUCUCCCAUUUUAUAUAUGAGGAAACUGAGAGACAGAGAGGUUAAGUAUUUUGCCCAAGGCUGCACAGCCAGCAAGUGACUACUGGUGUUGAAACCCAAGCCUGUCCGUAGAGCUUAGUGCGCAUCACUUCUUGGAAGAUUUAACGUGCCCUUUCCAUGGGGUAGUGGGGAGUCACAAAAGUUAGGCUUAUUUUUUUUCUGCUCUCUCUGUCCAUCUACUUUGGCCUGGCAAUUAGUAGGUGCUCAAUAAGAAUCUGAAUAAAUUUGCAAAAGUCCUGACAAGUUACUUUUCUCUGAGCCUGUAUCCUCUUCAGUGCAAUAGGCCCAGGGCAAGUACUGACCUCACUGGGCUGUUUGGACACAAAAAUGAAAGAAUGGGCUGUGGGGAGGCUGCUGUGGCUGAGAGGAAGAAGCUGAAGUCUGCCAGAGCUGGGUGCAAGUCUAAGAGGCCUACUUUCCUUUCCAGCUGUGUGGUCUCAGACCAGUGUCUCGCCCUCUCUGACCCUCUCUGUGAGGUAGGGUAGUUUGGAUGCUGGGAAUCUGAAUUCCCCCAGGCUCCCAUCUGGGGGGCAGUGACUAGCCUUGGUGCCUCCUUGCUCUGAAUCUCAGGGGCACUGAAGGCUCUGGGGCUCUGGGCCGGCAGCACCCUGCAGGUCUGAGCUCCCACUGGGCUACCCCGUGCCUGCCCCAGGCCAGCGCUGCCACCCAGCUCUGCUGAGCGCCAGCCGGGGCUCCGAGGCCGUGCCACCUGCCUGAGCAGUGGGAAGAGCGCUGAGGCCAGGUCACAGGGGACACUGACCAGGAUGCAGUCCCCCCACUCCGGCUCCGGCUCCGGCUCCAGCUCCCAUUUCCCUCCCUGCCUGGCCUCUGGGCUCGGGGAGAGGCCCAGCAAGGCCUCCAGAGCAGGAGGGGCCGAGGACCCGGCUCCUCCCAGGCCCAGGUUGCAGAAGGGAAGCCGGAGGCCGGUGUCCUCCUGGCUGUGGGCACCCUCCCUGCCCCCCUGCCUUCCCCCUACCCUGCGGCUCCCUCCUUCUCCUCUCAUGGUGACCCCUCCUCCUCCAGGCCUCCCCCCAGCGCUGCUCCUGGGGAGCUCCGCGGGCCAGCCGCAUCCUGUCCUGGCUCACCGCUGUUCGCCUCUGCUGGUGGGUUCUGUGUCCCCCACUGGGAGGUCAGCUCCAGAGGCUGUGUCCUUCUAAUCCAUGCCAUCCCCUGACCUGGUGCAGGGCUCUGCCGGUCCCUGUCUGCUGAGCAUGGGCCUGGCUAAAUGCCUGGCACAUAGUAGGUUUUCAGCAAAGACUGAAGCAGCAUCUACUCCCUAGGGAGAGACCUGUUGGAGAAACAGGAAAAACACAAAUGGGGUUUGAAUCCUGCUUGCUGUGUG